This 2343-nucleotide unclassified non-coding RNA is filed under the name Hevea brasiliensis (rubber tree). The record is from RNAcentral. Lineage: Eukaryota; Viridiplantae; Streptophyta; Magnoliopsida; Malpighiales; Euphorbiaceae.
GUAAUGAAGGCUAUAAUUUAGGAAAAUUGAUUCCUAAUUAAGAUAACAAAAUUUAUGUGGAAAACUCCCCCAAUUUAGAGGAGUAAAAGUCAUGGAGAAAAUUGAAAAUACAUGCGUUGAUCUCCAGCAAUUAUUAACUAGUGGCAUACACCAAUUUCCCACAACAAAAAUUACAUCAACAUCUGUCAACAAAUAGUCAUUGCUAAACAAAAUAAAUGAAUAAAGUAACAAGUGAGAGUUGAAGAGAUUGCACAAGCUAGAUAUCUCAAAUCAAAUCUACACCAUUCACAAUGAAGAAUCAGAUGUUAGGAACUUGCAAACCAAAUUUCAGCUCAAUCCAAUGGUAAACGGAUUCUCAAAGCUCAUUAAAAAUGUGCUCUUUUUGUUCUGUAUUUUCCCUCUCUAAAAUCUACCGGUUUUUCUUUCCUUUUAUGUGUAAUAGUUAGGGCUACUUAUAAAACAACAAAACCCAAAAAAUUAGUAGUAUUCAGAAUUAUGCCACUUGAGCUUGGGCCAUCCUCCACAUUAAAGGGAAACCCAACGCAACACAUCCUUCUGGCAAAAUAGGGAUAAUUCUAAUUAUUAAAUAAUGCCUAGUAAUUAAUUUCAUAAUGUGAUGCAGGAUGCCGUUGCUUCAAACGGCUUGAAUUUAAACAUUUUUAUUUAUAAACAAAGCUGAUAAUUAAUAAAUUUAUAGGUUAAUAUAUUUAUGGGCACCAUCAUGCAAGGUGUUUGGCCUGGCCUGAAUCAAAGAGCUUCAUCAAAAAUAGGCCCUGUGCCAUCAAGAUGCAAUAGUUACUCAAAAUGGAAAUUUUGAUUUAGCAUUCAAUUUUAAUUAGCCUACUAAAGUUACAUAAAAUGUGAUUACUGUAGUACGCUAUGCAGACCUAGAACACUUGAUGCUCUCAAGGUUGUAGGAAAGAUCCUAGUCUACCUUUGAGGUGGUGAUAAUGAAAGAUUACAGAAGGGAAUUACAGCUGCUAGUGUAGGUGUUAGUGGGAUGAUAUUGGCAAAUGAUCAAUCAAGUGGGAAUGAACUUAUACACCUGAUCCCCAUUUCCUUCCCACUUCACACAUCAAUUACAUUAAUGGUUUAACUGCUCUUGCCUACAUAAAUUCCACUAAGUACAUUUCAAAUGCUAUUUCAUUGAUCCAUUUUGUCAAUUUCAAGAUUGAUUCUCGUAGAUAAACUCAUUCAAGAUUCUUAUGCUGUUGGAAUAGAAAUGCCAUGGCAUUAAUUUCUCCUGUACAAAUAGAAGCUAGGAGUCAAGCUAGCUCUGGAGAUGGCAACAUUCUCAUCCAAGGGACCUAAUUCACUUGAUCCAAAAAUCUUUAUGAUUAAGGUUUAAUAUCUAUUGUACUGUAUAGCCUGACAUCACUGCGCUUGGAGUACUCACGGCUUAUUCUGAAGUAGCAUUGCCAUCUGAAUCUAUAUCUGAUAAAUGUUGAACUACUUUUGCUAUAAUGUAAAAGGUUUAGGAUCAAAUAGAUAAAACUAGAAGGUUUAGUUAGAAUUGAAAAACUUUGCAAAGUAUGAAUGUACCUAUGUAUUUUUUAUUAAUUAGGAAGCAAAAAAAUCAUUAAUUGUUAUUUGAUAAUUUUUUUUAUAGGCCCAUCAAUAUAAAAUAGAAUAAAUAAAAUAUUUGGAAAAUUACAAUUUACUACCUUGUGAUUUUGCACAUUUGUCAAGUAGGUUACAGAGGUUAAGUUUGUGAUAAAAAGGUGCCAAAAGCUAUAGCUCCAUUAGUAAAGUUAUGAUAAAUUAUAAUUUAAUCCCUAAGAUUUAGUAAAAUUAACAUAUUAUUCUUUGUAUUUUUAAAACCUAUCUAUUUAGCCCUUGACAUUUAAAUAAACAUAGAGAUUAGUCCAUUCAUCCAAUUUUUUGUACAAUUUAUCAUUAAUCAUAUCAAAAAUAUCAAAUUAAAAUGACAAAUUUAUAAUAUAAAUUUUCUUACAAAAUAGUCCCCAUAUUUUAUAAUAUUUAUUACUUUAAUUAUAAUAUUGUCAUUUAAUUUCAUUAAUAUUCUAGGUAUAUAUGGCCUAACAAUAACAUGUCCCAACUGUCACAAUUAACCAUAAAAAUCUAAAUUCUAAACCCUAAAAACCUAAAUUCCAAAAAUCUAUACUCUAAACUCUAAACCCUAAACUAUAAAAACCUAUACUUUCGAUCCUAAAAGCUUAAAUUAUAAACCCUAAAAACCUAAAUUCUAAAAAUCUAAACGUAAUUCCUGAAUUACAAGGUUUAGAUUUUUAGGAUUUAGGGUUUAGAGUUUAGAGUUUAGAGUUUUAAAUUUUGAGGGUUUAUAUUUUUAGAGUUUGGGUUUUUUAUGGUUUAGAGUUUAAG